Molecule: ribosomal RNA, 106 nt
Filed under: uncultured bacterium
Lineage: Bacteria
Description: partial 16S ribosomal RNA
Source: RNAcentral
CCUUCGGGUCGUAAACUCCUUUCGAUCGGAGACGAAUGGCUUCUGGGUCGAAUAUCCCGGAAGAUUGACGGUACCGAGAGAACGAAGCCCCGGCUAAACUCCGUGC